This is a long non-coding RNA of Gadus macrocephalus (Pacific cod), 4121 nucleotides long. RefSeq lists it as uncharacterized. Lineage: Eukaryota; Metazoa; Chordata; Actinopteri; Gadiformes; Gadidae. The record is from RefSeq and is a predicted model, not a curated record. The transcript has 4 exons.
AGAUCAAACACAGAGCUGAAAUAGCCUCUCACAGUUACCAAGAAGACCACAGGGCGCCGAACCUGCGUUGAGUUUUACUAAUUAGCUCACCUGCCGCAGCUCGCCUGCCAGGUGGUUUUCUUAAUUAGUUAAUUGGUUGCAUCUGGUGCGUUUCACUUAAAAGGGAACCGGACAGUUCAUUUGUUUGUGUACUGUUUUGCUGUUGUGACUUAUUUAACAUCUCUUCCAGUUUCACAGGUUAAAGACUUUUUGAAGUAAAGAGGAGCAUCUCAUCUGAACCUGAUGUCUAUCAUGGAUAUUUAACUGCAGUUCUGUGAGUAUCCCAACUUAACCAUGACGCAUAACUGCAAACCGUAAGUCAUUAAUUUAUCAUUACUCUUGGGCACAUUGAUGUAUUUUGGCUUCCUGGUGAGUUAACCUGUUACAUGACGGUUGUGAGUAGUGAGGAUGUUUUAUUGGUUCAUGAGUUACUUAGGUGUUUGGUUUAUGUUGGUUUUAAUGAUUUGUUAAAAUGGUUACAAGUUAUUGUUGUAAGCUGGAGUAAUGAGUUGGGUUCUGAUGUCUUCAGUCUUCUUUUAUUCUACUCCCCUGAGCUCUGCAUCUUCAUCACAUGUUGCUUUACUGAGGAGGGUGUGGUCUGAGUGAGCAGAGGUGCAUACUGGGAUACAGAGCUGUCUAAAGUCUACAGGUCUGUAGACACGCCCCCUCAGGGGAAACCGAGUGUUUGAGAAACUGUCGUGUCGUCAGUUACAUGGACUGGAAUGUUCUUAAAGAUGGAGACAGGGAUUCAGAAGGAGAAACACCAGGGGGAGAUGAGGGGGCUCCUCAUCUCAACGACUGAAACACAACUUCAGUCUGACGCAGAGAACCAUGGAACACAUUCAACAGUCCCCUCCAGGCAUCGUGACUCCUCAGGAACAGUUUCAUUUCCAAGAAGGUCUUAUUUGGGGGCAUCCCCAUAUGGAUCCUGCUCCUCAAGAGCCACCCCCCUCCACUGGGUGGUCUUCUGAACAGAUGAUCUCCUUCCUGUCCUCAGGCUGACUAAAGCUGCACCGUUUGCAUCUGUGAAGGCCCCUCAAUCAGGAAACCACUGGACUACAAAGACAUGACUUCAGAGACGUUGAAUCAACCUGGGACACAUUGGAGACGCCAAGCAUAAUCCAUCACCAAUGUGGGAUGCCACUGAAGAAUGUUGUACAUAAUUCAAGUCUCUGGAGACAAUGGUUGUUCAGUUCUGGGUGCCCUGGCAGGAGAGCUGGGGGGGGGGGGGGAUGUUGGAAGGUUAUUUGCUUUGAGGUUUUUACCCUGCAUGAUUGUUUGGCCUUUUAUGGUGUGUGUGUGUGUGUGUGUGUGUGUGUGUGUGUGUGUGUGUGUGUGUGUGUGUGUGUGUGUGUGUGUGUGUGUGUGUGUGUGUGUGUGUGUGUGUGUGUGUGUGUGUGUGUGUGUGUGUGUGUCAUGGAAGAUUUUUGAGUAUCGCUAGGGUUCUACUGUGUGUGUGUGUGCGUGUGUCUCCCACUCACACCUGGCAUGGGGUUCUAUGUGCGUGUGUCUGGCUUGCUUUGACACUGAUAAUGUUCAUACGGGGGUCUGUGUGAUUGGCUUGGGAUAUUGGAAUGGUCAACUAAAUCAUACCUGAUGGACGGCCACACGUUUACUUAAGGGCCUCCAGUAGACAUGAAGAGCCCUGAGCCGACGCUCCGGAGCGAUAUCCAACACACUGGGAAGGAAGGAGAGUAUCCAAAUCAAGUGUAAAAGGAUGCAAGCGGCGUGUUCAGAUCAGCGACUUCAAACUAGGACUACACCAUCAGGAUCAAUGGAGGAUGGACACCAAAAGGAAUUCCACAAGGAGAGUCUGACGUUGGAAAGGGACCUCAAUGGAUAUUCAAGAUGACCUUCAGACCUGUAAUGAGACGGCUCUUCCUACCUGGCUGGAAUGAUGGAGAGCCCUGUGGAUCUUGUCUUGCUCUCAGUUGCACGUCUUCUCAGGCUGAACUGUAAUUGUUUCGGACAGGACUAGCUGAACGAUUGGUUCCCUUAAAUCAGAACCAAUCCCGGAACUCCAGCUAGUGCGCUCUUUGAACUGAAGUUGUGCUCUUCAGCUGAGGUGGUAAGGAAACCUUCACUGGGGCUUCAAGGUGUAAAGAGGAGAAUGUUUCAAAGUGUUCCAUGGUACUCUGAAGACUGUUGUUGUGUUCCACUGGCUGCGAGGAAGAACCCACACAUCUUCCUCUUGGCCUUUCUCCUCUGAGAAUCCUGGCGCCAUCUUGAAGGAUAUUCCAGCUCAUGUAACUGAUGUCACGACAGAUUCUCAAACACUUGGUUUCUCCUGAGGGGCGUGUCUAUGGAACUGAAGACUUCAGACAGCACUGUAUCCCAGCAUGCAUCUCUGCUCACUCAGACCACACCCCCAUGAGUAGGAUGCAACACUCUAGUGAUGGAGAUGUAGAGUUUUAUAAUUAACGAGGGAGCAGACUAAGGUGAUUAGAACACAAUGGAAUGUCAAGUCUGUAAAUCUUUAAGCCAUGAAGAUGGUUGGAUAGUUCAGGAAUUGGGCUUCUUUUUAUUAUGGGCAGUCCUUUCACUCAGAUGCCCACUUCUCACUGGAGCUGUUCAUGUGUUGGCUGGCUGGCAUGAUUUGCUGUUGGUGAUGAGUCGGUCAGGGUGACGUUGCAGGGCUAUGGUCGGCUCUCUGUGAGCUCAACGUUUAGAUUUGCUCUGUAUGGUUUGUACCCUGAAUAAUCUAGAUAAUUGUAAAAUGUAGACACGGUUUUGUAUUGAAUGAUUUUAGGUUUAAAGUUGUUGUGGGACGUACAUGGUAGUUUGGUUCUUCGUAUGGUUUUGAGUGAUAUAACUUGUACACACUGGGUGCAUAAUAAUGUAAAGGUACACUGAAUAGUAUUAAUGACCAACAGCAACAAACGGAUCUCCUCAAGGUAAGUCUGUUGGCUGUAUUUUAAUGAAGACCAUCACUGGACUUCAGGAUCUUCCUCCGUUCAGCUCAAGGUGAGGCGCUGGUUCUGUUUUUUCUUUGGUUGGUUCCGGCCGGAAUGUUCGGAUUCCAGUCAGACGGUUUGUGCUUCCCGCCGUGGAAGGUUCUGAGUGAGGUCACUUGAUUUAGUCCCAAUGGUUAGCAUAGAACGUUGUAGUCUUGACAAACAUAAGAAACCACCAGGCAGUUAGUUGGACGGGAGUCCCCUGAGGGACUCUGGCGGAACGUUCUGGAUUGUAUUUGCGUAACCUCGAGGCGUUGCCAACGGAAUCUAUUUUUCAGUCGGUUUCCAUUGGGAAUUGUUGCCCCUAUCUUGAACAACUAAAGUUUGAUAUUAAAUACAUACUAAAACGUACGUCGUACAAUAUGUUAAUUUCCGUUGGUUGCGCCGUUCUUUCAACCAUGAUGACGUUGCGGGACUCGCACUGCGUACAAAACGGCGUUCUACUUGCGGGCCCAUUUUUGACAUCAGAGAAGGCUGAAAAUCAUUUCAAGGUGGAAGAUAAUUUGACAUUUCUUCAACGGAACCCAGCACCUGAAUAUGGCUGAGUAUAUUUGAUUUAAUAUCGAUACUGCUUAGUGUUCUUUGUUACUUCAGCUUUUGUGCGUUCUAAAUAUCUGCUGUCAUUAAUUGCCACAGAAGUUAAACCCUACCCAAUGGAAUGACGUUAAACAUCGACUUUGGUGCAGAGUUACCAACUGGAUAAUAUCAAAGCUAAAUUAAUGGCCGUCAUUCCCACAUGUUACAGUAGAAGAUACUCUAGAACUGUACAAGGUUAAAAAGGUAACGUGUAGUUUGUCCCAAGGUGUCUGCCUCCUCACCCAGAGCCAGACCUCCACCUCCUCACCCAGAGCCAGACCUCCACCUCCUCACCCAGAGCCACACCUCCACCUCCUCACCCAGAGCCAGACCUCCACCUCCUGUCAGAAGUCCUCCAGAACAGCUGAAAGGCGAGGCUGAGAGGCUGGGGACCGUCUUGUGGUGCCAGGAUGGACCGGAGACUGAGGCUGGAGUCCAGGGGCCUGCAGCACCGGACCAGAGGACCAGGAAUCCAUGGCUGAAGGAGCUGAUGGAGGAGCCCUGAUGGAGGAGCUGAUGGAGGAGCCAUGCUGAAAGAGCUGAUGGAGGAGC